This 468-nucleotide ribosomal RNA is filed under the name uncultured bacterium. RNAcentral describes it as "partial 16S ribosomal RNA". It matches the Rfam family "Bacterial small subunit ribosomal RNA", at positions 28 to 507 of the family's 1533-position model. The record is from RNAcentral.
GACGAACGCUGGCGGCGUGCUUAACACAUGCAAGUCGAACGGAAAGGCCCUGCUUUUGUGGGGUUCUCGAUUGGCGAACGGGUGAGUAACACGUGUGUAACCUGCCCUUGACUUUGUGAUAACUUCUGGAAACUGGGGCUAAUACCGGAUAGGAUCUCCUGCUGCAUUGUGGGGGUUGGAAAGUUUCGGCGGUUGGGGAUGGUCUCGCUGCUUAUCAGCUUGUUUGUGGGGUAGUGGCUUACCAAGGCUUUGACGGGUAGCAGGCAUGAGAGGGUGAACGGAGACAUGGGGACUGAGAGACGGAGCAGAAGGGAACGGGAGGCAGCAGGGGGAAAUAUUGCAGAAUGGGCGGAAGCGUGAGGAAGAAACGCAGGGAGCGGGAUGACGGGCAACGGGUUGAAAACAGAUGUGGAAGGUGACGAAGAGUGAGUGACGGUAAUGGGUAAAGAAGCAACGGCUAACUACGUG